RNAcentral lists this ribosomal RNA (554 nucleotides) under uncultured Sordariales. Its description in RNAcentral is "eukaryotic LSU rRNA". It matches the Rfam family "Eukaryotic large subunit ribosomal RNA", at positions 70 to 650 of the family's 3401-position model. The record is from RNAcentral. Lineage: Eukaryota; Fungi; Ascomycota; Sordariomycetes; Sordariales.
AGGGAUUGCCUCAGUAACGGCGAGUGAAGCGGCAACAGCUCAAAUUUGAAAUCUGGCCUCGUGCCCGAGUUGUAAUUUGUAGAGGAUGCUUUUGGCACGGCACCUUCCGAGUUUCCUGGAACGGUUCGCCACAGAGGGUGAGAGCCCCGUAUGGUUGGAUGCCUAGCCUUUGUAAAGCUCCUUCGACGAGUCGAGUAGUUUGGGAAUGCUGCUCAAAAUGGGAGGUAAAUUUCUUCUAAAGCUAAAUACCGGCCAGAGACCGAUAGCGCACAAGUAGAGUGAUCGAAAGAUGAAAAGCACUUUGAAAAGAGGGUUAAACAGCACGUGAAAUUGUUGAAAGGGAAGCGCUUGUGACCAGACUUGAGCUUGGGGAAUCAGCUGGUGUUCUCACCAGUGCACUUUACCGAGUUCAGGCCAGCAUCGGUUCUCCGAGGGGGAUAAAAGCUUCAGGAACGUGGCUCCUCCGGGAGUGUUAUAGCCUGUUGUACAAUACCCUUCAGGGGACCGAGGUACGCGCUCCGCAAGGAUGCUGGCGUAACGGUCAUCAGCGGCCC